UACGAAUUGUUCAAUCUUUCAUCGGAAUUACUGGGCGUAAAGCGCGCGUAGGUGGUUCGUUAAGUUGAAUGUGAAAGCCCCGGGCUCAACCUGGGAACUGCAUCCAAAACUGGCGAGCUAGAGUAUGGCAGAGGGUGGUGGAAUUUCCUGUGUAGCGGUGAAAUGCGUAGAUAUAGGAAGGAACACCAGUGGCGAAGGCGACCACCUGGGCUAAUACGGACACUGAGGUGAGAAAGCGUGGGGAGCACACAGGAGGAGAUAACCCGGUAGUCC
This 273-nucleotide ribosomal RNA is filed under the name uncultured bacterium. Its description in RNAcentral is "partial 16S ribosomal RNA". It matches the Rfam family "Bacterial small subunit ribosomal RNA", at positions 524 to 796 of the family's 1533-position model. The record is from RNAcentral.